AAAACACCUUGUUGGGUGAGGUUACUUUCGAAACACAGGCUGGUGCCCAAAAACAUCGAGAGAUGCCAAUGGGUAAAGCAGGUAUUGUCGGCUUAAGGCUUUACCAAUUCAGCUGAAUGGAGCAGGAUCCAUUCUACGUUCGAUCGUGCCAAAACUGAACGAGGAGAGUGUUCA
Molecule: small RNA, 174 nt
Filed under: Methanosalsum zhilinae
Lineage: Archaea; Methanobacteriati; Methanobacteriota; Methanomicrobia; Methanosarcinales; Methanosarcinaceae
Also listed under: 1 other name
Description: Magnesium sequence
Rfam family: M-box riboswitch aptamer (ykoK leader)
About the family: M-box riboswitch, also know as ykoK leader is described as a metaloregulatory RNA that sense divalent metals and function as a genetic control element of genes related to divalent metal transport in bacteria. It was first reported upstream of the B.subtilis ykoK gene and genes with related functions in other bacteria.
Source: RNAcentral